Non-coding RNA from Cordylochernes scorpioides, 69 nucleotides. Lineage: Eukaryota; Metazoa; Arthropoda; Arachnida; Pseudoscorpiones; Chernetidae. The record is from the annotation of a GenBank genome assembly.
GCCGAAAAAGCUCAGUUGGGAGAGCGUUAGACUGAAGAUCUAAAGGUCCCUGGUUUGAUGGUUUCAGCA